UUACCUGAGAGAUUGUAGCUUUUAAUAAUGAAAGCAAUUGUGUUUCUUUUUCACUCACUGCCAAGCAGAUCCCUUCCAAUAGGGCUCUCCCGUGUGUACAUGUAUGCAGACCACUGCAGAGGGCAGUGGUGGCACACCCAGAUGGUUCCAUGUGUGGAUGACUCCGUGCAUCUGACCGUAGCUCCUGUGGCAUGCUCACAGGGUUUGAAGAUUCGAGUCUCGAGAUGUUUUCUCUUAUCCCUGCUUUGCUCCAGCUGUGUUAUCUCACUGCACCCUUCAGUGCUGGAGCCAGAUGUUGCAGGAACGUUUGUGGAGAUGACAAAAAACCGCAUUCCUGAGAGAGCUGGAAAUAAUUUGUGUUGCUGCUAUGUGAGAGGUUAAAUGAGCAACUCAACUUUCUGGCAAGCACGGUGAGAAGCACCUCCAGAGGCCGUGAGUCAGCACUGCUGGAGCAGCAAGAGAGCAGCAGGAGGAUGCAGAGAUGUCAAAGCAAAGCCCUGUUUUGUCCUUAGAACGGCCCACAGUUGGGACAGCAUCUCAACCUUACAGGAGAGAGCUGCCCAAAUGGCACCGAGUCGCCUGUUGGGAUUGAUGGAGCGUGUGCUGUCGGUUCAUAAUUUGUGCUGAAAUACUCUCAGUAAAUACGUUUGUGAGAGCAA
Centrocercus urophasianus (Greater sage-grouse) is the source of this 659-nucleotide long non-coding RNA. RefSeq lists it as uncharacterized. NCBI's taxonomy places the organism in Eukaryota, Metazoa, Chordata, Aves, Galliformes, Phasianidae. The transcript has 3 exons. The record is from RefSeq and is a predicted model, not a curated record.